CGAACUCGGCUGUGAAACAUUGCGGGGGUGACAAUACUUUCCGGGUGACUGGGCGGGAAGAUAGCCUUGUGCCAAGAGGUCUCAUGCAUUUGCUUCUAAUAGAAGGCAAAAAGCUGAAGAAACAGAAGCCAUUUCGCAAA
Molecule: ribosomal RNA, 140 nt
Filed under: Coccomyxa subellipsoidea C-169
Lineage: Eukaryota; Viridiplantae; Chlorophyta; Trebouxiophyceae; Coccomyxaceae
Source: RNAcentral